Molecule: small RNA, 47 nt
Filed under: Candidatus Magnetoglobus multicellularis str. Araruama
Lineage: Bacteria; Pseudomonadati; Thermodesulfobacteriota; Desulfobacteria; Desulfobacterales; Desulfobacteraceae
Description: Acido-Lenti-1 RNA
Rfam family: Acido-Lenti-1 RNA
Source: Rfam by way of RNAcentral
CCUGGGGGUGAAACCCCAGGCUAUUAUCUGUCGUCCCUAAAGGGACU